Long non-coding RNA from Siniperca chuatsi (mandarin fish), 1103 nucleotides. RefSeq lists it as uncharacterized. The record is from RefSeq and is a predicted model, not a curated record. Lineage: Eukaryota; Metazoa; Chordata; Actinopteri; Centrarchiformes; Sinipercidae. The transcript is spliced from 3 exons.
ACAGAACAAGGAGAUAAUUUCCGGCUACCAUUUCAGGAAAUAGUCACAAUUUACAAACAGGUAAAAGGAGCCCUCACCACUCUGGACCCUUCAUGAACUUUACCAACAAGAAUCAGAGCAGGAAGCCCCGCCCACACCAGCUCUUCAGAAUGCUGCAUUCAGUUGAUGUUCCUCUCAGCCAGCACAGUUCAGAGCUCUGCCCCUGCGAGCAGAGCCUGACGUGCUCUUCCCAUGGGAAACGUCUGCAGACCCUAAAAAAGCUUAAAGAGCCAACACCCAGCACACAUGACAGGGCUGCUGUGGAGCUCAGCAGAUGAAAGAUCUGAUUAGAGGCUGAAGGAAUUGCUUUUUUAAUGUGAGAAUCUCUCAUUUGAAGACUUUGUUUCAUACGGCGGUCAAGAGGAGGCCGGGCUGGAUAAACACUUUACGUGCAUUAAUUCAUCUAUCUUUGCAUGCAUUUUAUGUUACCAUAGUGCUGAUAUUUAGCCUGUUGCUAAUUUCAUUCAAAAGUCCAAAAGAAAUUUAAAAUUUUUCUGUAUAUUAUGUUGCAAGAUUCUACAUUUGGGUUGUUUAUAUCCUAUGAAAACUGUAAACUCUCACAUCAUAUUGUAUGAAAAUUGAAGACCCUAAUUUUUUAAUCAGUGUUACAGUUUUCAUUUCACCUGCUUUAAUGUAAAAAGAAUCACCCUGGUCGAGUCCACAUGGUCUAUACAUUUACACUUUGUGAAAAACUGUUUGCAUUUGUUUUUGUAUAAAUAGGUUUUAGUUUCCAUUUUUCAAUAUUUAGAAUAAAUGAUGUAAUAUUUAGGUUAAAUAAGUUUACUUGGUUGAUAAAUGAAAUGGGAAACCUGAUGGGAUUACAUGAUUUACAACGUGGAGAUUUAAAAAUAAUGAUAAAAAUGUGUAUUUUUGUGUGUAGUUUAAGAUUUCAUAUUCAUAAAAAGAAAUGGUUUAAGGAGGAACCAAAUCUUUGUAUUACAACUUGUAUUUUAGCUCAAAGCCUGAAGAACUCUUGCUUGUGAAGUUGGCUUAUAAGGUGUUUUCUCAUGCAUCAUAUAUUUCUCUUUCUAGUACAGUAAAAAAUAAAUAAAUUACAUAAAAGA